GACAAUUAGUUUAUUUAAAAUAAGUGAUUUCGACUCAUUAGAACAUGAACAUAACCGUGAUUGUCA
Molecule: transfer RNA, 66 nt
Filed under: Calomys laucha (small vesper mouse)
Lineage: Eukaryota; Metazoa; Chordata; Mammalia; Rodentia; Cricetidae
Also listed under: 1 other name
Description: tRNA-Arg
Source: RNAcentral